Molecule: non-coding RNA, 30 nt
Filed under: Mus musculus (house mouse)
Lineage: Eukaryota; Metazoa; Chordata; Mammalia; Rodentia; Muridae
Source: RNAcentral
UCCUAUGACUGUUGCCCGGGCAACACUGGC